Molecule: long non-coding RNA, 198 nt
Organism: Cervus elaphus (red deer)
Lineage: Eukaryota; Metazoa; Chordata; Mammalia; Artiodactyla; Cervidae
Exons: 4
Source: RefSeq, a predicted model, not a curated record
UUGUGUGUGCAUCUGGAUACUCAGAGGUCCUGACUGUAGACCUGACAACAACAAACUUAGAGUGACUAAAUGGGUGCCCUCCACCAUAUCAUACAUUUGAAGAACCUACAUACGUCAACUUAAAAUAAGAAAGGAAGGAAUCGAACCCUCUAUAACUGGUUUCAAGCCAACAUCAUAGCCACUAUGUCUUUCUCAAUU